RNAcentral lists this ribosomal RNA (407 nucleotides) under uncultured bacterium. RNAcentral's name for it is "bacterial SSU rRNA". It matches the Rfam family "Bacterial small subunit ribosomal RNA", at positions 355 to 776 of the family's 1533-position model. The record is from RNAcentral.
UGGGGAAUAUUGCGCAAUGGGGGAAACCCUGACGCAGCGACGCCGCGUGAAGGAAGAAGGCCUUCGGGUUGUAAACUUCUUUGAUGUGGGACGAAGGAAAUGACGGUACCACAGGAACAAGCCACGGCUAACUACGUGCCAGCAGCCGCGGUAAUACGUAGGUGGCGAGCGUUGUCCGGAAUUACUGGGUGUAAAGGGCGUGUAGGCGGGAUGGCAAGUCAGAUGUGAAAUACCGGGGCUUAACCCUGGUGCUGCAUCUGAAACUGCUGUUCUUGAGUGCCGGAGAGGAAAGCGGAAUUCCCAGUGUAGCGGUGAAAUGCGUAGAUAUUGGGAGGAACACCGGUGGCGAAGGCGGCUUUCUGGACGGUAACUGACGCUGAGGCGCGAAAGCGUGGGGAGCAAACAGG